Molecule: ribosomal RNA, 722 nt
Filed under: uncultured bacterium
Lineage: Bacteria
Description: bacterial SSU rRNA
Rfam family: Bacterial small subunit ribosomal RNA
Source: RNAcentral
AGUCGAACGAGAUCUUCGGAUCUAGUGGCGCACGGGUGCGUAACGCGUAUGCAACUUACCUCUUACUGGGGAAUAACUUUCCGAAAGGAGGGCUAAUACCGCAUAAAAGACAGUGAGGCAUCUCACAAUCUUAAAAGGUUACGGUAGGAGAUGGGCAUGCGUCCCAUUAGCUAGUUGGUAAGGUAACGGCUUACCAAGGCGACGAUGGGUAGGGGAACUGAGAGGUCGAUCCCCCACACUGGUACUGAGAUACGGACCAGACUCCUACGGGAGGCAGCAGUAAGGAAUAUUGGUCAAUGGACGAGAGUCUGAACCAGCCAUGCCGCGUGCAGGAAGAAGGCGUUCCGCGUCGUAAACUGUUUUUAUAUAGGAAGAAAAAGUUUCUACGGAAAUCAUUGACGGUACUAUAUGAAUAAGCACCGGCUAACUACGUGCCAGCAGCCGCGGUAAUACGUAGGGUGCAAGCGUUGUCCGGAUUUAUUGGGUUUAAAGGGUGCGUAGGCGGAUUAUUAAGUCUUGGGUGAAAUCCUACCGCUUAACGGUAGAACUGCCUGAGAAACUGGUAAUCUUGAGUAUAGUUGAGGUAGCUGGAAUUGGUGGUGUAGCGGUGAAAUGCAUAGAUACCACCAGGAACCCCUAUUGCGAAGGCAAGUUACUAAGCUAUAACUGACGCUGAUGCACGAAAGCGUGGGGAGCGAACAGGAUUAGAUACCCUGGUAGUC